Panicum hallii is the source of this 1066-nucleotide long non-coding RNA. RefSeq lists it as uncharacterized. The record is from RefSeq and is a predicted model, not a curated record. NCBI's taxonomy places the organism in Eukaryota, Viridiplantae, Streptophyta, Magnoliopsida, Poales, Poaceae. The transcript is spliced from 3 exons.
UUAGGGCGGUUUAUGUAAAUAUUCGGGUUUCCUGCAAAUUGCGUCUGCCUCCGCUGCGGCUCGCUGCCCCGCCGCCUUCGCCAUGUCCUCCGCCGCCGCCCGAGCCCUCAAGUCCGCCUCCCGCGAUGCCUUCUCCUGGAAGCCGGUGAUUAAAGUCAUCGACUUCUAGUAUUUGAAAAUCUUUAUCUGAAACCAUACAGACUAUCCCCCUUCUGCCAGACGGGGCAGCCGCAGAGAACGCUGGUGGCGGCCGUGAGGUCUGGCGUGGGGGCUCCACUCGGGAGCGCGCGGCCGCGCUAAUCCCGACGCACGCCGGCGAGGGCGCGAGGCUAGGUUGUCGGCAGAGGUGGGGAACGCCGAGCCACGGUCGCAGCUCUGCACGACGCUUCGGCGGGGGCCCGCGGGUCCGCACGGUGGAGCACCUUCUCUCUGCGAUGGAGGCGCUCGACGCGACGACGUCGACAAUAGCCGCGUUGAGGUCCGCGGCAGUGACGAGCACAAGAGUGGGUAGUUGGCAAUACGAAGCGCAGGUUUGUGUGCGACCGAGGAUACCAGUGGGCAAAUCUUGGAGAAACUGGCCCCCCAAAUUCGUGAACCUGUUUACUUGCAGAGAGAUGAUUGCUUCGCAGCUGCAUUCCCUGGCUCGCAAAUCCACAGUUCCACAUCACAUAUGCAAUUGAUUUCCUGAAGGUGCCAGCGAUUGAGAGUUAAUGGUUUUCUACAUUCCUUGAUGCUAAUAAAUACUCAAGCGAGAUUGCUCGUGCAUGAACUUUCUUGAUAUUUGAAGAGGUUUUCUUAAACAUCUAGUUUUUCAUCGUUUCUGUCCAUAGUAACCUAUUUUGGAAAUUGUUUGGAUCUGCAUUUACAUGUAUAAAUUCCUUGAUAAGACCUCUUUUAAUAACGUAUCACCAAGUUACUUUCCUAGCACAUGGUUUAAUGCUAAUGUACUUUGUCAUGAUCUUGUGAUAUAUCAAUACCAUGCAUGUUUUUUCUUGGAACAUUGCAGAACUGCAUAUCUUUCUCGCAAAUUUUCUGGCCAUGUUGCACUUGGCUCCCCCCCCCCCCC